Molecule: ribosomal RNA, 84 nt
Filed under: Ignatzschineria indica
Lineage: Bacteria; Pseudomonadati; Pseudomonadota; Gammaproteobacteria; Cardiobacteriales; Ignatzschineriaceae
Source: RNAcentral
UCCCAUCCCGAACUCAGAAGUGAAACGUAGCAGCGCCGAUGGUAGUGUGGGAGAUCCCAUGUGAGAGUAGGUCAACCCCAGGGC